Molecule: ribosomal RNA, 497 nt
Filed under: uncultured bacterium
Lineage: Bacteria
Description: partial 16S ribosomal RNA
Rfam family: Bacterial small subunit ribosomal RNA
Source: RNAcentral
GAUGAACGCUGGCGGCGUGCCUAAUACAUGCAAGUCGAGCGAACGGACGAGAAGCUUGCUUUUCUGAUGUUAGCGGCGGACGGGUGAGUAACACGUGGAUACCCUACCUAUAAGACUGGGAUAACUUCGGGAAACCGGAGCUAAUACCGGAUAAUAUUUUGAACCGCAUGGUUCAAAAGUGAAAUACGGUCUUGCUGUCACUUAUAGAUGGAUCCGCGCUGCAUUAGCUAGUUGGUAAGUUAACGGCUUACCAGGGCAACGAUGCAUAGCCGACCUGAGAGGGUGAUAGGCCACACGGGAACGGAGACACGGACAAGACUACUACGGGAGGCAGCAGUAGGGAAUCGUCCGCAAUGGGCGAAAGCCUGACGGAGCAACGCCGAGUGAGUGAUGAAGGUCUUCGGAUCGUAAAACUCUGUUAUUAGGGAAGAACAUAUGUGUAAGUAAAUGUGCACAUCUUGACGGUACCUAAUCAGAAAGCAACGGCUAACUACGUG